GGGGAAUAUUGGGCAAUGGGCGCAAGCCUGACCCAGCAACGCCGCGUGAAGGAAGACGGUUUUCGGAUUGUAAACUUCUUUUAUCAGGGACGAUGAAUGAGACGGUACCUGAUGAAUAAGCCACGGCUAACUACGUGCCAGCAGCCGCGGUAAUACGUAGGUGGCAAGCGUUGUCCGGAUUUACUGGGUGUAAAGGGCGUGUAGCCGGGGAGGCAAGUCAGAUGUGAAAACUAUGGGCUCAACCCAUAGCCUGCAUUUGAAACUGCUUUUCUUGAGUAUCGGAGAGGUAAUCGGAAUUCCUAGUGUAGCGGUGAAAUGCGUAGAUAUUAGGAGGAACACCAGUGGCGAAAGCGGAUUACUGGACGACAACUGACGGUGAGGCGCGAAAGCGUGGGGAGCAAAC
RNAcentral lists this ribosomal RNA (403 nucleotides) under uncultured bacterium. RNAcentral describes it as "bacterial SSU rRNA". It matches the Rfam family "Bacterial small subunit ribosomal RNA", at positions 356 to 773 of the family's 1533-position model. The record is from RNAcentral.